RNAcentral lists this ribosomal RNA (252 nucleotides) under uncultured bacterium. RNAcentral's name for it is "partial 16S ribosomal RNA". It matches the Rfam family "Bacterial small subunit ribosomal RNA", at positions 30 to 289 of the family's 1533-position model. The record is from RNAcentral.
UUGAACGCUGGCGGCAUGCCUUACACAUGCAAGUCGAACGGUAGAGGGGCAACCCUUGAGAGUGGCGAACGGGUGAGUAAUAUAUCGGAACGUGCCCAGUCGUGGGGGAUAACGCAGCGAAAGCUGCGCUAAUACCGCAUACGAUCUAUGGAUGAAAGCGGGGGAUCGCAAGACCUCGCGCGAUUGGAGCGGCCGAUAUCAGAUUAGGUAGUUGGUGGGUAAAAGCCCCACCAAGCCGACGAUCUGUAGCUG